CCAAAGUGCUGGGAUUACAGGCGUGAGCCACCACACCCAGCUUUUUUUUUUUUUUUGCUUUUUUAGAGACAGGGUGUCACUGUGUCACCUAGGCUGGAGUGCAGUAGUUCGAUCAUAGCUCACUGCAGCCUCCAACUCCUGGGUUCAAGUGAUCCUCCUGCCUCAGCUUCCUGAGUAGCUAGGACUACAGGUGUGCGCCACCAUGCCCAGCCUCAGACUCAACCCUGCUCCCAGCCACAGCCGGGCCUAAACGUCAUCCUCUCUGGAGGCUUCUCUGCAAGGAACCCUGGUUCAGUGCAGUGCACCCUUCUGCGUCCUCAUGACAGCUUGCUCUUCCUCUUCCCUGGAAUGGACAGUCAUAACCCAUCGGCUGGAAACUUGUGCUGAGUGGACAACACCCAAGCAACAGGGGAGUGGUCCUGGCUUGAAUCAGUCAUCAAAUGCACCUGCAGGAAAUAACCUCGUUCUUUCCUUCAUUCAGCCAAUUUGUUGUUGUUGUUGCUGUUUUUGAAACAGAGUCCUGCUCUGUAACCCCGGCUGGAGUGCAGUGGCACCAUCUCAGCUCACUGCAACCUCUACCUCCUGGGUUCAGACGAUUCUUGUGCCUCAGCUUCCUGAGUAGCUGGGACUACAGGCGUGCGCCGCCAUGCCUAGCUAAUUUUUGUAUUUUUUAUAGAGACAAGGUUUUGCCAUGUUGGUCAGGCUGGUCUUGAACUCCUGACCUCAAGGGAUCCUCCCACCUUGGCCUCCCAAAGCACUGGGUUUCCAUUGCAAGUUAACGUAUAAACCUAUUUUUAUAAAAAUAAUAACUAUUUGGCAGGGCGUGGUGGCUCACUCCUGUAAUCCCAGCACUAUGGGAGACCAAGGCGGGUGGAUCACUUGAGCUCAGGAGUUCAAGACCAGCCUGGGCAAUACGGUGAAACCCCGUCUCUACUAAAAUACAAAAAAUUAGUCAGGCAUGGUGGCGAGCGCCUGUAGUCCCAGCUACUCGGGAGGUUGAGGCAGGAGAAUCACUUGAACCUGGGAGGAGGUUGCAGUGAGCUGAGAUUGCACCACUGCACUCCAGCCUGGGCAACAGAGCAAGACUCCAUCUCAAAAAAAAAAAAAAAAGCCAGUGGCAGUGGCUCCUCAUACCUGUAAUCUCAGCACUUUGGAAGGCCAAGGCAAGUGGAUCACCUGAGGUCAGGAGUUCGAGACCAGCCUGACCAACAUGGUGAAACCCCGUCUCUACUAAAAAUACAAAAAUUUCCAGGCCUGGUAUCGGGCACCUGUAAUCCCAGCUACUCAGGAGGCUGAAACAGGAAAAUCACUUGAACCCGGGAGCUGGAGGUUGCAGUGAGCCAAGAUCGCCCCCAUUGCAUUCCAGCCUGGGCAACGAGAGUGAAACUCGAUCUCAAAAAAAAAAAAAACUAUUUUCCAAAAAAAUUCAGUGCAUUGAGUGGCAUUGUUUGUGUCAUUUUGAAAAUCUUUUUUUUUUUUUUUUUUGACAGAGUUCCACUCUGUCACUCUGUGGCCAGGCUGGUCUCAAACUCCUGACCUCAAGUGAUCCGCUGGCUUUGGCCUCCCAAAGUGCUGGGAUUACAGGUGUGAGCCACCGCGCCCGGCCGCACAUCUCUUUAAUGUCUGGCUGGAUCCUUGCAUCUGUGUCUGUCUUCAGUGCAGCCAUUCAUUACAUGUCAGGCAACUUCUGGAAACUUCUACUGUCCACUUAUGAGUGAAUGAGAACGAAAAAGGCAGUUAACAUCUCAGGAGGGUAGUAUACAAAUACUUUUGACCUCAUGGACCCCUUGAAAGGGUCUCAGGGACUCCUAAGCGACUCUGAACCAUACUUUGAGAACCACUGACAUGUAGUUUCAGUUUUGAAAUCAAUAAAGUGUCAAAAAGGAAAAAGUUUUAGGGCAAGUUUGGUGAUAAAACUGACCUAAACAGACUGAUACUCUUUUUUUUUUUUUUUUUUUUUUUUUUUUUUUUUUUUUUUGAGGCAGACUCUCGCUCUGUUACCAGGCUGGAGUGCAGUGGCGCGGCGAUCUCGGCUCACUGCAAUCUCUGCCUCCUGGGUUCAAGCG
RNAcentral lists this long non-coding RNA (2066 nucleotides) under Homo sapiens (human). RNAcentral describes it as "non-protein coding lnc-LMTK3-3:1". Lineage: Eukaryota; Metazoa; Chordata; Mammalia; Primates; Hominidae. The record is from RNAcentral.